UUAAGGUCAGCCACUUUGUCAGAGCUCAGAGCUGUCGAGUUCCUGGGGAGGCUCUUUGCCAAAGCCGAAUGCAUGAACUCUUAGCGUAUAGAAACUAGAAUGUGAAUUAAGCUCAUAUCACUCAAAAGGAGCUGAAUGCAUCUGAAACCAAAGUACACUGUCAGCCACCUCCACUUGCUCCAGGCACUGAUACCUUGAUUAGCUAUGCAAGAAGCUACCUGCUGUUUUAGAAUUAUAUGAAGUCACCUCGGGGUAUCUGCAAGCUUCUCACGCACAAGGGACUGACUACCCCCCUCCCCCCCUUCUUCUUGGCUUCCAGCACAGUUGUUGCUACAUCCAGAAUGCGGGGCGACAGCAUAGACUUGAUCAGCAGCAUUUUAUUACAAACUCAACAGGCAAGAACUAGCGAGGUGACUAAUGAUGAGGUGGAGACCGGCUCUUAGGCGAUCUCGAAGGGAAGAAAAGUUCACUAAAGUUCAGUCUCAGAGAACACAAAUCUAACAGCUCGGAAUUCAUUAAAAAGAAAUGUCGCGGCCUCUGUAAAAGUGUGCACACUUAGAAACUGAUUUUCACCAAGACUUCAGGUAUCGGUGGCAUCAAUGGGAUCAGAACUCUCUCAUGUAAGAUGUCACUUCCAAACUCCAAACCGAUGGAAAGGGACUGGAGCAGAGUCUGAAAGGAGAGGAAGCUGCCAUUGGUGUACUUCUCCAGUGCCUGUUUCUCUUCCAGGAUCUCACACAGACUUUAGGGGUCAUGCCCCCUUAGUUUCCUCUAAUCUGUGUACACGGAUGCUCAGUAUUUCCUCAUCACAUGGCUGGGUGCUUUCGAGAAUGUAAGUAGCAGAGGGUGGGAGCAGAGCCGUGAAGUGCUGUCUUCUGGAUACAUAGCAUGCCUAUUGUACACAUCAGCUACUAACUUCUGUGCCUGACUGCCUAAGACCUGCGCAAGAUCAAGCUCACCUAAAGGUUGACAAUCCUGUUGGUGAUUUCUAAGACACUACAACUUCUGUCUUUUCCAUUCGGCCCCAGAAUAAGAUGCCAUAACUGAAUUUUUGAAAACAAUAAAUACGCCCUAAAAGAAUUAAUAAAUAAAUGCCGAGAGGCAAGCCAGGAAACAAAGAGACAAAGGUUUGGAAUGAUUCAGUCUUUCCACGUCCCCAGUCAGCGAGUUCAAGCCAACAAGCUUUAUGUCAUAUAUGAGGCAUGAGGAGAAAACACCCUACAACCUGCAAUCAGUGCUCAUCUGAGAGACCCCGAUGCCAUCAAAGGCCAACACCAUAGAUAUAGUAAAUCUCAUGAGCCAGAAAGGAUGGAAGAAGGCAGGACGGCAGCUUCCUGUUGCUGUCUUCAGCCCUUGUCUGAUUGGACCAUUGCCUCUGCCAGCAGCGUGUGGACGGAGGACAUUCUUCGCCUUAGAAUGCCAUGUAAGUACUUAAUUCCCAUCCAGACGAAGACUAGAUGGUCCUAAACUACAUACGCUUUUCAGAAU
Microtus oregoni (creeping vole) is the source of this 1488-nucleotide long non-coding RNA. RefSeq lists it as uncharacterized. NCBI's taxonomy places the organism in Eukaryota, Metazoa, Chordata, Mammalia, Rodentia, Cricetidae. The record is from RefSeq and is a predicted model, not a curated record. The transcript is spliced from 8 exons.